CUCAUCCCAUCUCCGAUUCAUCUGACUCUGAUCCAUCCAGUCAUGAUCUCUACUUGAUCCUGUGUAGUUAGUCUUUUCUUUAGUUUUUGUUUAGAAUAUGUAAUGCAAUGUUGACUGUUUGAUUUUUGGAUAGUCUCUAUCCAUGUCUUUUGUAUUCCAAGUCAACAUCUAUGUAUUGAACCAUCUUUGUACUCACUCAUCUUUUGGAUAUAUAUAUA
Molecule: long non-coding RNA, 218 nt
Filed under: Elaeis guineensis (African oil palm)
Lineage: Eukaryota; Viridiplantae; Streptophyta; Magnoliopsida; Arecales; Arecaceae
Description: long non-coding RNA (EGUI_LNC076798)
Source: RNAcentral